This 443-nucleotide ribosomal RNA is filed under the name uncultured bacterium. Its description in RNAcentral is "SSU rRNA". It matches the Rfam family "Bacterial small subunit ribosomal RNA", at positions 26 to 518 of the family's 1533-position model. The record is from RNAcentral.
AGAGCGAACGCUGGCGGCAGGCCUAAUACAUGCAAGUCGAACGGAUCCUUCGGGAUUAGUGGCGGACGGGUGAGUAACACGUGGGAACGUACCCUUUGGUUCGGAACAACUCAGGGAAACUUGAGCUAAUACCGAAUGUGCCCUUCGGGGAAAAGAUUUAUCGCCAUUGGAGCGGCCCGCGUCUGAUUAGCUAGUUGGUAGGGUAAAGGCCUACCAAGGCUACGAUCAGUAGCUGGUCUGAGAGGAUGAUCAGCCACACUGGGACUGAGACACGGCCCAGACUCCUACGGGAGGCAGCAGUAGGGAAUCUUGCGCAAUGGGCGAAAGCCUGACGCAGCCAUGCCGCGUGAAUGAUGAAGGUCUUAGGAUUGUAAAAUUCUUUCAGCGGGACGAUAAUGACGGUACCCGCAGAAGAGCCCGGCUAACUUCGCGCCAGCAGCCGC